CAGUAGCCGCGGGAAUACAGAGGGUGCGAGCGUUAAUCGGAUUUACUGGGCGUAAAGCGUGCGUAGGCGGCUUUUUAAGUCGGAUGUGAAAUCCCUGAGCUUAACUUAGGAAUUGCAUUCGAUACUGGUAAGCUAGAGUAUGGGAGAGGAUGGUAGAAUUCCAGGUGUAGCGGUGAAAUGCGUAGAGAUCUGGAGGAAUACCGAUGGCGAAGGCAGCCAUCUGGCCUAAUACUGACGCUGAGGUACGAAAGCAUGGGGAGCAAACAGGAUUAGAUACCCGUGUAGUCCCUGUCUCUUAUAC
Molecule: ribosomal RNA, 301 nt
Filed under: uncultured bacterium
Lineage: Bacteria
Description: partial 16S ribosomal RNA
Rfam family: Bacterial small subunit ribosomal RNA
Source: RNAcentral